GACGAACGCUGGCGGCGCGCCUAACACAUGCAAGUCGAACGAGCGAGAGAGACCUUGCUUUCUUGAGCGAGUGGCGAACGGGUGAGUAACGCGUGAGGAACCUGCCUCAAAGAGGGGGACAACAGUUGGAAACGACUGCUAAUACCGCAUAAGCCCACGGUGCCGCAUGGCACAGAGGGAAAAGGAGCAAUCCGCUUUGGGAUGGCCUCGCGUCCGAUUAGCUAGUUGGGGGGGUAACGGCCCACCAAGGCGACGAUCGGUAGACGGACUGAGAGAUUGAACGGAGACAUUGAGACGGAGCCACGGCCCGGAAUACUACGGGAGGCAGGAGUGCGGAAUAUAGCAAAAUGGGGUGAGCGCUGAUGCAGCGACGACGGGUAGAGGAAGAAGGUCUGCGGAUUGGAAAGUCCUGUUGUUGGGGAAGAUAAUGACGGUACCAAACAAGGAAGUGACGGCUAACUACGUG
This 466-nucleotide ribosomal RNA is filed under the name uncultured bacterium. Its description in RNAcentral is "partial 16S ribosomal RNA". It matches the Rfam family "Bacterial small subunit ribosomal RNA", at positions 28 to 507 of the family's 1533-position model. The record is from RNAcentral.